UCCCAGUUCGGAUUGCAGGCUGCAACCCGCCUGCAUGAAGUUGGAAUCGCUAGUAAUCGCGGAUCAGCAUGCCGCGGUGAAUACGUUCCCGGGCCUUGUACACACCGCCCGUCACACCAUGAGAGUCGGGAACACCCGAAGUCCGUAGCCUGACCGCAAGGGGGGCGCGGCCGAAGGUGGGUUCGAUAAUUGGGGUGAAGUCGUAACAAGGUACC
Molecule: ribosomal RNA, 215 nt
Filed under: uncultured bacterium
Lineage: Bacteria
Description: partial 16S ribosomal RNA
Rfam family: Bacterial small subunit ribosomal RNA
Source: RNAcentral